CACCAGGUCUGCUGACUCUCAGUCCAGGGCUCUUUAUACAUCAUCUGCCCGUGAGGGGCUUGCGGGGAGGAAUGAGU
Molecule: microRNA precursor, 77 nt
Filed under: Echinops telfairi (small Madagascar hedgehog)
Lineage: Eukaryota; Metazoa; Chordata; Mammalia; Afrosoricida; Tenrecidae
Description: miRNA (ENSETEG00000022435.1)
Source: RNAcentral